UACGUAGGGGGCAAGCGUUGUCCGGAAUCAUUGGGCGUAAAGAGCUCGUAGGCGGCCUGUUGCGUCCGCUGUGAAAGCCCGGGGCUUAACCCCGGGUCGGCAGUGGAUACGGGCAGGCUAGAGGUAGGUAGGGGAGAAUGGAAUUCCCGGUGUAGCGGUGAAAUGCGCAGAUAUCGGGAGGAACACCGGUGGCGAAGGCGGUUCUCUGGGCCUGUACUGACGCUGAGGAGCGAAAGCGUGGGGAGCGAACAGG
RNAcentral lists this ribosomal RNA (253 nucleotides) under uncultured bacterium. RNAcentral's name for it is "partial 16S ribosomal RNA". It matches the Rfam family "Bacterial small subunit ribosomal RNA", at positions 524 to 776 of the family's 1533-position model. The record is from RNAcentral.